GGCGUCGACGGGUAGCCGGCCUGAGAGGGUGACCGGCCACACUGGGACUGAGACACGGCCCAGACUCCUACGGGAGGCAGCAGUGGGGAAUAUUGCACAAUGGGCGGAAGCCUGAUGCAGCAACGCCGCGUGGGGGAUGACGGCCUUCGGGUUGUAAACCUCUUUUAGCAAGGAAGAAGCUUUUGUGACGGUACUUGCAGAAAAAGCGCCGGCUAACUACGUGCCAGCAGCCGCGGUAAUACGUAGGGCGCAAGCGUUAUCCGGAAUUAUUGGGCGUAAAGAGCUCGUAGGCGGUUUGUCGCGUCUGCUGUGAAAUCCCGAGGCUCAACUUCGGGUCUGCAGUGGGUACGGGCAGACUAGAGUGCGGUAGGGGAGAUUGGAAUUCCUGGUGUAGCGGUGGAAUGCGCAGAUAUCAGGAGGAACACCGAUGGCGAAGGCAGAUCUCUGGGCCGUAACUGACGCUGAGGAGCGAAAGGGUGGGGAGCAAACAGGCUUAGAUACCCUGGUAGUCCACCCCGUAAACGUUGGGAACUAGUUGUGGGGUCCUUUCCACGGAUUCCGUGACGCAGCUAACGCAUUAAGUUCCCCGCC
This 591-nucleotide ribosomal RNA is filed under the name Microbacterium sp. SM-55. RNAcentral describes it as "bacterial SSU rRNA". It matches the Rfam family "Bacterial small subunit ribosomal RNA", at positions 272 to 873 of the family's 1533-position model. Lineage: Bacteria; Bacillati; Actinomycetota; Actinomycetes; Micrococcales; Microbacteriaceae. The record is from RNAcentral.